AUGUUGCAUAUGCACGAUUGCUAAUCAAAUUUUGAGCGCCUGAUACAUUUUUGCAGCAUAAUUUUUUUUUAAAGAAAAAACAUGAAAUACUCAGCUUACACUCUCUUCUUCUUUCACAUGCAACUCACCACGAAACCACCAUAGUUUCUAUGAAAACCCGUCACUAAAGCUCCAACUAAGCCACCUUAAAUCACUAAAAAAAAUACCGUCUUUCAUCAAAAAACUUAUUGCCCAUAAUCUCUAGAGCUUCGCCUAUAUCCGUCGAGCCAAAAUAAAUCCCGCGCUAGCCGAAAAAAGCAGCAACAAGAGCUGCAAAUAACUACUAAAUAUCUACUAGAUCAACAUCCUCUUUCAUCUAACAAUACCUUCAUUCCAACAGAAACGCAUAAACAAUAACCAAUUAUUUGAAUCGGCAGAUAAUUUUACACCAAAAAUAAUAAAUUAGAGAAACAAAAGUGAAAUAAGCCCAAAUUCGUGACCAAGAAAAUGACGGAGAAAGAAGACUGAACAUUAGUAGAAUCAUUCGGCUUUGCUUGGAGAUCAAUUUUUUGGUGAAAGAGAUGAGGCGAGGUCGGUCAAUGAUUCGAUGGUGGAUUCUCUGCUUUGGCUAUUCUUUUUUGUUUCAUAUUUGUAUUAGUUUUAUGAAAAGAUUUAGAUUUAAAUUUCAAGUAUGAAUGAAUAAAUUUUGAGUAUAGGGCAUGUUAGAGAAGAAGGUGGGGAGGAGAAGGGAUCUAGUGAAAAUAUCUGUGUUUAAUUUGUUGGAUAGGCAGUG
RNAcentral lists this long non-coding RNA (772 nucleotides) under Nicotiana benthamiana. Its description in RNAcentral is "long non-coding RNA (NBEN_LNC020357)". Lineage: Eukaryota; Viridiplantae; Streptophyta; Magnoliopsida; Solanales; Solanaceae. The record is from RNAcentral.